Panicum virgatum (switchgrass) is the source of this 229-nucleotide long non-coding RNA. RefSeq lists it as uncharacterized. The record is from RefSeq and is a predicted model, not a curated record. The transcript has 3 exons. NCBI's taxonomy places the organism in Eukaryota, Viridiplantae, Streptophyta, Magnoliopsida, Poales, Poaceae.
UUUUGACACUUAAAAUGUGAACAGAAACAGAUUGAGUUGCUGACAAAAGUGAAGAUGCCACUAUCAGAUUUGGUGAGUGCGGCUCUGGCGCUGGAUCAAUCUAUCUUGGAUGUUGAUCAAGUGGAGAAUCUUAUAAAGUUCUGCCCUACGAAAGUAGAAAUGGAACUUCUCAAGAAUUACACCGGAGACAAGGAAACUCUUGGGAAGUGUGAACAGGUAAUGGCUAUAC